UCGAGCGGACAGAAGGGAGCUUGCUCCCGGAUGUUACCGGCGGACGGGUGAGUAACACGUGGGUAACCUGCCUGUAAUACUGGGAUAACUCCGGGAAACCGGAGCUAAUACCGGAUAGUUCCUUGAACCACAUGGUUCAAGGAUGAAAGACGGUUUCGGCUGUCACUUACAGAUGGACCCGCGACGCAUUAGCUAGUUGGUGAGGUAACGGCUCACCAAGGCGACGAUGCGUAGCCGACCUGAGAGGGUGAUCGGCCACACUGGGACUGAGACACGGCCCACACUCCUACGGGAGGCAGCAGUAGGGAAUCUUCCGCAAUGGACGAAAGUCUGACGGAGCAACGCCGCGUGAGUGAUGAAGGUUUUCGGAUCGUAAAGCUCUGUUGUUAGGGAAGAACAAGUGCAAGAGUAACUGCUUGCACCUUGACGGUACCUAACCAGAAAGCCACGGCUAACUACGUGCCAGCAGCCGCGGUAAUACGUAGGUGGCAAGCGUUGUCCGGAAUUAUUGGGCGUAAAGGGCUCGCAGGCGGUUUCUUAAGUCUGAUGUGAAAGCCCCCGGCUCAACCGGGGAGGGUCAUUGGAAACUGGGAAACUUGAGUGCAAAAGAGGAGAGUGGAAUUCCGCGUGUACCGCUGAAAUGCGUAGAGAUGUGGAGGAACACCAGUGACGAAGGCGACUCUCUGGUCUGU
RNAcentral lists this ribosomal RNA (692 nucleotides) under Bacillus sp. PDA-42-8-2. Its description in RNAcentral is "bacterial SSU rRNA". It matches the Rfam family "Bacterial small subunit ribosomal RNA", at positions 62 to 737 of the family's 1533-position model. The record is from RNAcentral. Lineage: Bacteria; Bacillati; Bacillota; Bacilli; Caryophanales; Bacillaceae.